This 2108-nucleotide ribosomal RNA is filed under the name human gut metagenome. RNAcentral's name for it is "bacterial LSU rRNA". It matches the Rfam family "Bacterial large subunit ribosomal RNA", at positions 782 to 2925 of the family's 2925-position model. The record is from RNAcentral.
AUAAGCGUUGAAAAGCUUCUGGAUGACUUGAGGGUAGGGGUGAAAGGCUAAUCAAGCUGGGAAAUAGCUCGUACUCCCCGAAAUGCCUUUUGGGGCAGCGUUGUAAUAAAGAGUCUACUGGAGGUAGAGCUACUGAUUGGAUGCGGGGGCUUCACCGCCUACCAAAUCCUGACAAACUCCGAAUGCCAGUAGUAUGAUUUACAGCAGUGAGUGACUGGGUGCUAAUGUCCAGUCGCAAAAGAGGAACAACUCAGACCAGCAACUAAGGUCCCGAAGAAUAUGCUAAGUUGAUCUAACGAUGUUUUGUUGCAGAGACAGCUAGGAUGUUAGCUUGGAAGCAGCUAUUCAUUCAAAGAGUGCGUAACAGCUCACUAGUCGAGCGACAGAGCGUGGAUAAUAAACGGGCAUCAAGCAUAUCACCGAAGUUCUGGGCGCGAGAGCGCGGUAGGGGAGCAUUCCAUUCAGCGUCGAAGCAGUUUCGUGAGGAAUUGUGGAGCGUAUGGAAAAGCAAAUGUAGGCAUGAGUAACGAUAAUGCGGGAGAGUAACCCGCACACCGCAAGACCAAGGUUUCCUGAUCAACGCUAAUCGGAUCAGGGUUAGUCGGGUCCUAAGGGUAAGCCGAACGGCGAUCUCGAUGGAUAAUCGGUUAAUAUUCCGAUACUAACAUAUACCUCGAUGGAGAGACGAAGGAACGUAAGUGCCGCCACCUGACGGAAUAGGUGGUUAAAGGGCGUAGAUAUAGGGGCAGAUUAAGAGUUAGUCCUUGCUGAAACCUGACAGUACAGAGAGCCUACGGGCAAUUUGAUAGAGCACCCAAGUCGACUUCCGAGAAAAUCUUCUAAGUUAUAGUAUAUGUUACCCGUACCGUAAACCGACACAGGUGGUCGAGGAGAGUAUCCUAAGGUGCUCGAGUGAAUCACGGUUAAGGAACUAGGCAAAUUAACCCCGUAACUUCGGGAAAAGGGGUCCCUAUGAAAGUAGGGCGCAGCGAAGAGGUCCAGGCGACUGUUUAUCAAAAACACAGGGCUCUGCAAAUUCGAAAGAAGACGUAUAGGGCCUGACACCUGCCCGGUGCUGGAAGGUUAAGAGGGGAUGUCAUCGCAAGAGAAGCAUUGAAUCGAAGCCCCAGUAAACGGCGGCCGUAACUAUAACGGUCCUAAGGUAGCGAAAUUCCUUGUCGGGUAAGUUCCGACCUGCACGAAUGGUGUAACGAUCUGGACACUGUCUCAACCGUGAGCUCGGUGAAAUUGUAGUCCCGGUGAUGAUGCCGGGUACCCGCAACGGGACGAAAAGACCCCGUGAACCUUUACUAUAGCUUAACGCUGAAUUUGGGUACACAAUGUGUAGGAUAGGCCGGAGGCUUUGAAGCGGGCACGCCAGUGUUCGUGGAGCCGACGUUGAAAUACGGCCCUUUGUGUAUUUGAGUUCUAACCCUGCGAAGGGGACACCGUUUGGUGGGUAGUUUGACUGGGGUGGUCGCCUCCAAAAGCGUAACGGAGGCUUCCCAAGGUACCCUCAGCACGAAUGGUAACCGUGCGCGGAGUGCAAUAGCAUAAGGGUGCUUGACUGUGAGACAUACAAGUCGACCAGGUACGAAAGUAGGGUAUAGUGAUCCGGUGGUUCUGCGUGGACUGGCCAUCGCUCAAAGGAUAAAAGGUACUCCGGGGAUAACAGGCUGAUCGCCGCCAAGAGCUCAUAUCGACGCGGCGGUUUGGCACCUCGAUGUCGGCUCGUCACAUCCUGGGGCUGGAGAAGGUCCCAAGGGUUGGGCUGUUCGCCCAUUAAAGUGGCACGCGAGCUGGGUUCAGAACGUCGUGAGACAGUUCGGUCUCUAUCUGUUGCGGGCGUAGGAAGAUUGAGGGGUCCUGACUUUAGUACGAGAGGACCGAGUUGGACGAACCUCCGGUGUAUCGGUUAUGCUGCCAAGUGUACCGCCGAGUAGCCGCGUUCGGUCUGGAUAAGCGCUGAAAGCAUCUAAGCGCGAAGCCAUCCCCAAGAUAAGUCUUCCCUUGAGGGGCGUAGGAGACUACUACGUUGAUAGGCUGCAGGUGUAAAGACAGCAAUGUCAAAGCCGAGCAGUACUAAUUACCCGAUAGGCUUUCUUUUU